This 673-nucleotide ribosomal RNA is filed under the name uncultured bacterium. RNAcentral describes it as "bacterial SSU rRNA". It matches the Rfam family "Bacterial small subunit ribosomal RNA", at positions 66 to 738 of the family's 1533-position model. The record is from RNAcentral.
ACGAGAAUCUGCGGAAAGAGGAUUCGUCCAAUUGAAGCAGAGGACAGUGGCGGACGGGUGAGUAACGCGUGAGGAACCUGCCUUUCAGAGGGGGACAACAGUUGGAAACGACUGCUAAUACCGCAUGACAUAUAGAUGUCGCAUGGCAUUUAUAUCAAAGAUUUAUCGCUGAAAGAUGGCCUCGCGUCUGAUUAGCUAGUUGGUGAGGUAACGGCCCACCAAGGCGACGAUCAGUAGCCGGACUGAGAGGUUGAACGGCCACAUUGGGACUGAGAUACGGCCCAGACUCCUACGGGAGGCAGCAGUGGGGAAUAUUGGGCAAUGGGCGCAAGCCUGACCCAGCAACGCCGCGUGAAGGAAGAAGGCUUUCGGGUUGUAAACUUCUUUUGUCAGGGACGAGUAGAAGACGGUACCUGACGAAUAAGCCACGGCUAACUACGUGCCAGCAGCCGCGGUAAUACGUAGGUGGCAAGCGUUGUCCGGAUUUACUGGGUGUAAAGGGCGUGUAGCCGGGAGGGCAAGUCAGAUGUGAAAUCCACGGGCUCAACUCGUGAACUGCAUUUGAAACUACUCUUCUUGAGUAUCGGAGAGGCAAUCGGAAUUCCUAGUGUAGCGGUGAAAUGCGUAGAUAUUAGGAGGAACACCAGUGGCGAAGGCGGAUUGCUGGACGAUA